Molecule: RNA transcript, 12913 nt
Organism: Acinonyx jubatus (cheetah)
Lineage: Eukaryota; Metazoa; Chordata; Mammalia; Carnivora; Felidae
Gene: SOCS6
Gene name: suppressor of cytokine signaling 6
Exons: 6
Source: RefSeq, a predicted model, not a curated record
CCAGGCGCCGCCGCGCGCCCCUCCUGGAGGAGGAGGAGGAGGAGGAGGAAGGAGGCGGGAGGAGGAGUUGCGGGAGAGGAGGGACGAGCGCGGCAGUCGCGCCGGCGCUGGGCGAGGAAGCGGAGCGGGCCGCCGCCGGGGCAUCACACUUGGAGACUAUGUUUGGGGAGCGGUGGCUGUGCCGUUGUCCUUGGGAGCAGACUGUUGAGUAGUAGAGAAGAAAGAAGGAAGAAAAGACGGAAUAUCUCUGAAGGCCUGGGAGACAAACCGUUACCCUGAAGACGUCACUAUGCCAUCCUGAAAUUUUCCCACAGAAAAUGGCUCCAAAGGGUAUAUGAAGCUGGAAAAGUACAUAGAUGCAUCAUUGCAGCCUCUCCAGAUGUUUGAGGAUAAUAUUCCGGAGAGAAAUUGAUCCCCUUGGAUUAGGUAACUAGUCAUAAUGAAGAAAAUUAGUCUUAAAACCUUCCGAAAAUCUUUCAACUUGAAUAAAAGUAAAGAAGAAACGGAUUUCAUGGUAGUGCAGCAACCGUCACUGGCCAGUGAUUUCGGAAAAGAUGACUCCUUGUUUGGUAGCUGCUACGGUAAAGACAUGGCCAGCUGCGACCUCCACAGCGAAGAGGAAAAGGGUGGGAAGAGUCGAUCGAAGAGCGAAAGCCUGAUGGGUACGUUAAAACGACGCCUGUCUGCGAAACAGAAGCAGAAAGGCAAGGGCAGCGCGCCCUCCGGGAGCUCGGCUGACGAGGACACCUUCUCCUCCUCCUCGGCACCCCUGGUCUUCAAAGACGUGAGAGCCCAGAGGCCCAUCAGGUCCACUUCGCUCCGCAACCAUCACUACAGCCCUACGCCGUGGCCUCUGCGACCCACGAACUCGGAGGAGACGUGCAUCAAGAUGGAGGUGAGGGUCAAAGCCUUGGUUCACUCUUCCAGCCCGAGCCCAGCCCUGAACGGGGUUCGGAAGGAUUUUCACGACCUCCAGUCUGAGACUGCGUGCCAGGAGCAGAGUAGUUCACUCAAGAGUUCAGAGUCUCACAAUGGAGACUUGCAUCUUCACCUUGAUGAACAUGUGCCUGUAGUUAUCGGACUUAUGCCUCAGGACUACAUUCAGUAUACUGUGCCUUUAGACGAGGGGAUGUACCCUCUGGAAGGGUCGCGUAGCUAUUGUCUGGACAGCUCUUCUCCCAUGGAAGUCUCUGCGGUCCCUCCGCAAGUGGGAGGGAGCUCCUUCGCCGAAGACGAGAAUCAGGUAGACCAGGACCUAGUGGUGGCCCCAGAGAUCUUUGUGGAUCAGGCGGUGAACGGCUUGUUGAUUGGCACCACGGGAGUCAUGUUGCAGAGCCCGAGAGCGAGUCACGACGAUGCCCCCCCACUCUCACCGUUGCUACCUCCAAUGCAGACCAAUCAGAUCCAAAGGAACUUCGGUGGGCUCACCGGCACAGAUGCCCACGUGGCGGAAAGUAUGCGCUGUCAUUUGAAUUUUGAUCCUAACUCUGCCCCUGGGGUUGCAAGAGUUUACGACUCGGUGCAGAGUAGUGGUCCCAUGGUUGUGACGAGCCUUACAGAGGAGCUGAAAAAACUGGCGAAACAAGGAUGGUACUGGGGACCAAUCACACGCUGGGAGGCAGAAGGGAAGCUAGCAAAUGUGCCAGAUGGUUCUUUUCUCGUUCGGGAUAGUUCUGAUGACCGUUACCUUUUAAGCUUGAGCUUUCGCUCCCAUGGCAAAACACUUCACACGAGAAUUGAACACUCAAACGGUAGAUUUAGCUUUUAUGAACAACCGGAUGUGGAAGGACAUACGUCUAUAGUUGAUCUCAUCGAGCAUUCAAUCAGGGACUCUGAAAAUGGAGCUUUUUGUUAUUCAAGGUCUCGGUUGCCUGGAUCUGCAACUUACCCGGUCAGACUGACCAAUCCAGUGUCACGGUUCAUGCAGAAAUAGCCUGCCUCCAGUGGCCCACCGUCUUGGGACAAACUUACCAUCACAAAUUGACCAUCAUGACAGCUGAUGCUACCCAUCCAGGAUGGAAGAAUGGGUCUGCACACUUCGUUACACUGUCCUCGAAAGCAGAAAGGCUGAGCAUCUAAGAAUUAUAUCAGCAUUCCAGGACAGGAAGAAAGACAAAGAAGAAAGGAUAAAUGGCUGUAUCAGGACUUUGGAGCAUCCCCAGAAAUCCCAGUAAAGGAGACCUGCAUUACAGAUGAUCUUCCCAAGCAAGAUGCUCCAAAGGAGGUAACGGGUUCUGUGCCAUUCUGGGCAAGCUGCUGCUAACUUCACCCUUUCCUCUCUUAAAACCAAUACAAAGAAGAGUAGAAUUAUAAGGGAAAACAAAUAUAGGUACCAUAUUUGUUUUUUAAGAAUUGUCACAACUGAUUGUAACUCACCAUGUAGAUGAUGGUAGUUGAGUAUUAUCAGAAAAUUGAAGUCCACAAUGGACUUUGUCCACAUCUGUUUAUUGAAAGUUUACUACAGUAUGGGAGUUAGCUACUAUUACAUUCCUUCUGCUGGAGACUCACAGGGAUUUAAAAGGACAGUGGGUUUAACGGAGAAAAAGGAGGAAGUGUGAAGACAAGUCUUUGAUUGGUCACUUUCAAAGUGAUCAUUUGGGAGGGACUUUACGUGGGAUUUUUGAAAGUGCCACGGAGGUGGUGGGUAUAAGUAGGAGGCAGGGGGCUUCCUGAUUGACUUUCAGAUUCAUUUUGUCAUCUUUGAUUGGUUCACUAUCCCCAGGCACGUAACUGGGUCCUUCCCAGAAUUGGUAGGCUCAUAGGGGUUUUCCUGGUCCACUGAAAGAAUAUCUAGUUCCCUACUUGGGGUUCCAAGUCUACGAGAAGACAGUUCUGGAUAAUUGUUGCAUUAAACUCUGAGGUCCUUUUUCAACAUAGACCAGUGCCUGGUAUAUAGUAAGGAGUCAAUGUAUGUGGAAUAUAUACCAAAUAUUUUAUAAGAGGGAUUUUUCCCAACAUUUUACUGUAAAAACUUUCAAAUGUAAAAGUUAAAAGGAUCGUACAGUGAACAUCCGUAUUCCCACUACCUAGGUUCUAUAAUUAAAAUAUUACUAGUAUAUUUUCUUUAUCAAAUAUCUAUCCAUGUAUUCACCUCGCAAGAGGAAUUCUCAUAUGACACAUUUGAUUAAGCUAAUAAGAAAAUAGUUUAUUGUCUUACUGCUUUCAUGGGCAGAGAUCUAGUCCAAGGGCAUAAUGAGUGAUAUUCCAGAGAUGUCUUAAUUGCCCUUAUAAACCACUAUUGUUUGCCAAAUAUGGGUGGGACUCGGAUCUUCUAUGAGGCUGUUAAUGUUCAAGGACUUCAGUCAGUUAAGGUGUGGAUAUGCUAAAGGUUUAUUAGUUGAUAGUAUUGUAGAGCCAGGAUUUGCCUUCACCUGUAAAAACAUAUAUUAAAUUGGUAGGUAGAAAUGCCAAUUAAAAAAAAAAAACAAUACUAGAGAGUUUAAGCUUAAUGGGGCUACUACAAUCAAUUUGUCAUACGAUUUUUAUUUUAAAGAUUCAUGGAAGUCAGCUUCGUACACAAAUGAAAGUUAAUUCUGUAGGUUAAAUGAGGUAGGCGAAAGUUGAAUAUGCCUGCUGCAUCGAAGUCUAUUAAGAGGCUAGUCAUCAAAAUAUAUUUGCUUGUUUUUUCUCUAUUCUGUUUUUUUUUCCCUUGAGAGUUAAUCUGUGUAUGCAUUAUGACUCUUUAGUGCAAGAUAUUUGUGUACUCUGGAAAGUCCGCAUAUGGCCUCUGACCACAUUUUUGGAGGGAGUGGUGAGUUGUGGACGCCCCGGGGAGCCAGAGUAGCCUUUUCAUAUAGAGUCAGAUGCCUUGAGUUUGGGUCUGGCUCUGCCCUUCAUAUUUGGGGCCUCACUUUUGUAAUUAUAAAAGCGACUUAAUACAAAUGGUAUUUACUUUACAUGGCUGUGAUAAAGACUAAAUGAGAUACUGCAUGUAAAAUGCCUGGCUCAUAGUGACAAUCAGUAAAUACUGGUCGUCGUCUGUUAAAAUGUGGCAAAAGCAAUGUACUUGGGAGGAAAAUUAAAAUACGCAUGUACUGGUAUAGAAUUCUUUUUUUAAUUAUUAGUUUUUAAUUUUUAUUUUAGAGAGAGAGAAUGAGAGUUGGGGAGAGGGACAGAGGGGUGAGAGAGAGAGAGAGAGAGAGAGAGAGAGAGAGAGAGAGAAUCUUAAGCAGGCUCCAUGCUCAGCAUGGAGCCCAAUGUGGGGCUUGAUUUCAUGAACCCUGGGAUCAUGACCUGAGCUGAAAUCAAGAGUCAGAUGCUCAACUGACUGAGCCACCCAGGUGCCCUAGAAUUCUUGUUUUGAGCUGGAAGUGACCUCAAAUAUCCUCUACCUCAACCCCUCAUUUUACAAAUAAGAAAGCUGAAAUCCAGAGACAUUAAAUAAUUCCCCCCAAAUAACAGUUGAAGGUAUUCUGGAAUAGGAUGAAAACCAGGCUUUUAAAUUUCCCUAGUAAAGCUCUUUCCACCACACCAGGCAAUCCUGAAUUGAGGAUACUGAAAGAGGCCUGCUAUAGUAAUAAAGCACCAGCCUUGGAGACACUCACAUCUGAAUCCAGCUCUCAUUAUGUGGCGUGGGUGAAUUAUACCUUGGUUUUCUCUCUGUAAGUGGCUUUUGUAAUCCUGCCAGAUGGGGCUAUUCAGAGAUUAAAUGAGAUGAUAGGAAUGAAACACAUUGCACAAUGCUUUGACAUAUAGUAAAUUCCCCAUCUGUUCCGAUUGUUUUAUUUUAAUGUUUAUUUAUCUGUUUGAAAGAGAGAGAGAAAGAGUGCACAUGGGAGGGAGUGAGGGACAGAAGAUCUGAAGUGGGCUCUGUGCUGACAGCAGAGGGCCUGAUGUGGGGCUUGAACUCAACAAACAGAAUAUGGUAUCUGUUUGUAAUGAGAAAUGGUAAAAGAUGGAGGAGGGGAUUUAUGUAUGUAUGUAUGUAUGUAUGUAUGUAUCUAUUUAUUUAAAAUGUUUACUUAUUUUGAGAGAGACAGGGAGCAUCAGCAGGGGAGGGGGCAGAAAGAGAUAGAGAGAGAGAAUCCCAAGCAGGCUCUGCGCUCAGCACAGAGCCUGACUCGGGGCUUGAUGCGGGGUUGGGGAGCUCACUAACUAUGAGAUCGUGACCUGAGCUGAGAUCAAGAGUCAGUGCUUAGCCAUAUGAGACACCCAGGUGCCCCAGAUGGAGGGGUUUCAAAGGAGGAAUAGUCCCUAAUUCUCAUAAUAGAUCCUGAAAAAAUUGCAUCCUGGAAGACUGUGUCACCACUUUCAGAUAGGGGUGGAAGAAAAGAAGAAACAAAGUGGAAGAACGGAAGACGGAAAGACGAGUAGAGAGAAAAGAUGCCCGUGGAAAACGAGUGACCGUCAUCAGGCAUGCCCGCUGCCUGGGGGUUUGUGACGUCGGUUAGGGAUCGAAGAUCACAGUCACGGCGCAGCUUGACUCCACUACAAGAUCUGCACAAACAACCCUCUGCCUCAUCCCGACGCAUGUUGUGUUUUCUGGACUCCUACCCAAGUUGAAUUUUGGGGUCACUUAGAUGCAAAAUCAUUGUCCCAGAAGGACCACUAUUACAAAGAGUUUCAGAGCCAGAAUGUACCUCCGAGGGCCUCGGCCUGCAUGCUUUCACUUUACAGCUGAUGAAAGGUCCUGUGGUAACAGAUGAUACAAUGCUUCCGAGAAGUCACGGGUUAGGUAGGCUCCGGUCAGAUGGGAUGAGGACACAGCCACAAUGUGUGGCAAUGAUUCUGUGGGAGGAUGCUUUUACGGUUCUAAGCAACAAGAGUGCAUGAAAGGAUUUGGAAGAUAAUUUAUGAUUAGCUGGAUUUGCCCAUCAUGAGAUGCCUUUGACGAUCCUUUACGUGUUUUUCCACCAGAAAACAGCAUUGCCCGAUUGUGAUAGGCAUCUGAGAAUUCAACUUAUUAUUCAAGGAGAUUCUGAGUUUUUCAGGGCAGGGUAUGUGUUUUCUAAUCGCUUUGCAACCUUUGCUACGUUAGCUAUGUAAAAUGUGGGCCCUGAAUAUGCUGCGUGUCAAAGAGAAAGAAAUAACCUAAUUUUUUUUUUAAUUCAAGCGAAACCAUUAUAAUAGACAAGCAAAGCAGACAGACUGCUGGAGUCCAUGGGGGAGCGAAGUGUCAUGGCUAGGCAUACAUGGCUAGGCUGCAGGAGAAGUGCCUGUGGUGAUGGAGAUGUUCUGUCUGCACCAUCCAGUGGAAGCCAUGGGCCCCACGUCAAGUGAUAGCACUCGAAUUACGGUUAGGACAGUCGAGGAAUUGAAUUUGCGAUUUUAUUUGAUUGUGAUGAAGUUAACUUAAACUUAAAAUAUGAGUAUGUGUGAUCGGUGGCUACCGGAAUGGGCAGUGUAGAACGAAGAGGGGGAUGAUGGAAUGCGGAUACUGUGGCACAUGGCCAGGGUUCGCUUCCCAAACUUGCCUUUCCUACUGUCUGAACUGCUUAGUUCCAGUGUCCCCAUCCGUAAGAGCCAUCAUAAAGAUCAUGAGUCAAUAUACGAAGUCAAUACAUGGAAUGAGUCAAUGCAUAGCAACGAAUCAUUCCAUGGAAAGUACUUAGAACAGCGCCUGGAAACAAAUAUAUGUGUGUGUUCCUGUUUUACUACUUUUGUAAGGCGGCUAUGAGAUCUGUUUUAACUAACUAGAUCAUUAAAUAAUUGUUUGGCCUGAUUCUUGCCCUCUUUUGACUUUCUGGGUCUCUGUAGUUCUGUUAGUUAAGCUGUGGGGUUAGUCAGGGCAAUCGCUGGCUCCGAGAAUUGAUGUUCCUGUAUUUGGCAGCUUGUAUAGACAAUUCGUAGGAAGAAGCCUGGUUUUUGGUCCUGCAAUAGACUUCUCUGUGGGUUAUGUUGUCUUCUAUCCUCAGUUUCUGCAUCUGACAGAUGAGGUAGCUUGGCCUCAUUUCUCAGAUCUACACAUUUUAGUGCCACAUGGGUGAUAUGGAAUAAUGUUUAAAGAAAUGAUUGCAUUUCAAGUGUUUGGAACACAUUUCCUAUGAACUAUCAUAGUCACAACAUGGCAACAGGAUUUACUGAGUGGUUUUUCUAGGCACUGGGCCAAGUGGUUUAUAGGCAUUAUUCCAGUUGAUAUUCAGUACGACCCCAUUAGGAAGGUAUUGUCACUGUUCUUUUAAUGGGACAGGACAGAGGGUGCAGGCUCCGGGUCACUUAGCCAGUGAGCAGCAGAGGCAAGCUUUGUUCUCUUUGACUCUGUAGCUUGUAAUCUGAAGCUUGUAGAAAGGCCUCCUCUUACCGUUUGAGAGCAUACUCGUUAACGCUUUGUGUAGUUUGCCCAUAGGCAUGCAAAAACUCAGUACCUGAGGAAUCAUUCUUAAGCUUGGAAAAAUCUUGGAAGUGGGAAGCCAGGUGGCUUUUGUGAAAUGAAGAGAUGGCAAAUUUUGGUCAUUGAUGCCCCUUCGGAUGAUGAAACUUCAGUCACUUGGAAUUUGCUCUGGACAGUUUUUUCUCAAGAAAGUCUCUCCCUGGAGGGUUUCUUAUGCUCUUCUGAACACAGAGACCCUUUCCUGUGAAAACAUACUCCUCGUUACCCUGGUUAACAAGUGAAGAAUUGUGUGGCCAUUUGACAGUGUUGCGUCAUGUUUCAAGACACACACCUCUAAAUGUCAAAAGGGGGGGGGUAUCUGUGGAUAAAUUCCUUGAGAUAACACCGGCGUAUUAUUUAGCUGUCUCUUGCCCAGAAAACUGUUUCCAAGGGAUCUGGGGCUUCUCACAAGCCACGGGCCUAUCUUUGUAGGCUUGUCUUCCUUCCUGCACUCUUGUUGGGUCAUCCCAUCGUCCUAGUCUUUCUCACUCAUUCAGUGGAUGAGUUCCGAGCACAUUGCCCACGUUCUCCCCUCCAACAAUCAUUUCUUCAUUCCUUCUGACAGGAGAGCCACGUUGGUAAGAUUGAGUGGCUUCAAACACCCAGCACUUAGCAUUGCUUUUUAAAACUAUAUAAUUGCCAAGCCCUAAUCUUGCACCAAAACGCUCCUGCCUUGUACAAGAGCCAGAGAGACUCUGAGGUCUCUUACUUGAGAUCUCUCAGAAAUUCAUGCUUGCACUGUGUCCCAUAAAUCUAAAGCACAACAACACAGCAAAAGGAGGAAUUUUCACCGCCCUCCCCGACCCUGCAAAUAAUUAGGACUUCAAGCCUAGAAGCCCUCCUAAUUGGAGUAAGUACCACUUUAUUCUUGCAUACCUCUUUUUCUUUUAGUUGUAUUCUGAACGAGUGGCUCUCAUUUUCCCAGCAAGAAAACUACCUCAACUUUGCUUCUUAGCUCUGGGCCUCUCUGCUUUAUUCUCUGACCUCAUUCUGCUGGAUUCAGUGAUUCAUUUUAUUUUGGUGCAAGACCUAAGUCAGCCCAAUAAAGACCGAUAGUUAUCACUUCCAGGAGUUUGAGUAAGUUGCCAGAGACUUAAGUAAAGAAGCUUGUAGUUCUAGAAACUACUGGACAUUGUCUUCGGAGCAAGAAACUAGGGGUCAGAGUUAUCCAAGAAGAGUAGAAUUGAGAUAAGGAAAGAAAUUGGGUCCUUGAUAACCCAGCCUUAUCUGAAGUUAAAUCUGGACUUUUUCAGUCAACUGGACCAAUAAUUCCUUUAUUAUUUAGGUGAGUUUGAGUUGCAUUUUCCUUGACUAAUAAUGGCAAGCACCUUAACUGAUGCAGAUGGUAUACUAUACAGGCUAGGAAGCAUGAUAGCUCCUGCGGUCACAAAGAUAAAUGAGACAUAUUUACUGUCAAAAUAUAGGCGUGCAUAAUUUUAGAAUCUUCUUUCCCCCAUUUAGUGUGUCUCUUCUUGCAAGGCAAUGGGCAGGAUUAUUUUUUAUGAUGUCAUUAAUUUUUUUAAAAUAUGUAUUUGAAUUGAGAUAUAGUUCAUAUGCCACAAUAUUCACCCUUUUAAGGUGAGCAAUUCAGUAGCUUAAGUAUAUUCACAAGGUUGUGCAGCCAUCACUGUCUAAUUUCAGAACCUUUUCAUCCCUUCUCUGCACCCCUCCCCACCAAAAGAAAACCCCAUAUCCAUUAGCAGUCACUCCCCAUUCUACCUUCAACUUUCUCUCUUCAGGGAUUUGCCUGUUCUGGACACUCCAUAGAAGUGGAAUCAUACAAUAUGUUGCCUUUUGUGACUUCUACUUUUACAUGACAUAAUAUUUUCUUUUUUUUGAUUUAACUUUAUUUUUUAUUUUUUAAAAUUUACAUCCAAAUUAGUUAGUAUAUAGUGAAGCAAUGAUUUCAGUAGAUUCCUUAAUGCCCCUUACCCAUUUAGCCCAUCCCCCCCUCCCACAACCCCUCCAGCAACCCUCAGUUUGUUCUCCAUAUUUAUGAGUCUCUUAUGUUUUGUCCCCCUCCCUGUUUUUAUAUUAUUUUUGUUUCCCUUCCCUUAUGUUCAUCUGUUUUGUCUCUUAAAGUCCUCAUCUGAGUGAAGUCAUAUGAUUUUUGUCUUUCUCUGACUGACUAAUUUCACUUAGCAUAAUACCCUCCAGUUCCAUCCACGUAGUUGCAAAUGGCAAGAUUUCAUUCUUUUGAUUGCUGAGUAAUACUCCAUUGUAUAUAUAUAUAUACCACAUUUUCUUUACCCAUUCAUCCAUCGAUGGACAUUUGGGCUCUUUCCAUACUUUGGCUAUUGUCAACAUGGCAUAAUAUUUUCAAGGUUCAUCGUGUUACUGCAUGUAUCAGACCUUCAUUCCUUUUUAUGGCUGAAUGAUAUUCCAUUGCAUAGAUAUACAAUACUUUGCUGAUUCAUCAGGUGAUGGACAUUUGAGUUAUUUCCAUUUUUUGUCUAUUAUGAAUAAUGUUGCUAUGAACAUUCAUGUACAAAUUUUUGUGUGGAUAUAUAUUUUCAUUUCUCUAUGCCUAUGAGUGGAUAGGUGGUCAUAUGGAUAGUGGAUGGGUCAUAUGGUAACUUUAUGUUUAACUUUUUGAAUAACUACUAAACUGUCUUCCAACACAGUUACACUGAACAAGAAAAUAAGACUUCUGUUCUCAAGGAGUUUAUAGGUACUGAUGUUAUAAUAGAUAGCAACUUUGGAAAAAACUAGACCAGAAAGAAAUCUUAUAGCAUCUUAUAUACAAUUGUCUUUUUUUUUAAUUAAAAAUUUUUAAAAAAUGUUUAUUUAUUUUUGAGAGAGACAGAGCAUGAGCAGGGGAGGUGCAGAGAAAGAGGGAGACACAGAAUCUUAAGCAGGCUCCAGGCUCCGAGCUGUCAGCACAGAGCCCGAUGCGGGGCCCGAACUCACGGACCGCGAGAUCAUGACUUGAGCUCAAGUCAGAUGCUCAACUGACUGAGCCACCCAGGCACCCCUACAGUAGUCUUUAACACAAUAAAAACGUCAUCUGAAAUUCUUACUACAGAACAGAGAUUUGGUCCCCUAGCUGCCCUACAUGAAUAGUGAUGUGUAGUCUAUUUUUUCCAUUAUGACACUAAAAGCCUUUCAACUGGGUGUUUCAAUUCCAUCACAACUAAGAAGUUAGACAUUUAUAGAUCCUGCUAAGCAUCUAAUUGAGAAUUUAUUAUUACAGCAGAACACCAAGGAGCUGUUAAGUCAAUAAAAUUCUUUAAAAUUCUUUAAGAAUUUUCAGAGAAUUGGAAACAAAUAUUGGCAACCUUAUUUGGAUUAUAGGGAUGAGAAAAUAUAUAUAAUUAUCCAUAAGUGGAUAAGAUGCAUAAGAUGCAUAAGAUGACAAUCACUGCUCAAGAAGAAUACGGAACAAGAAGGUACAGAAAGCAUAUUUAGUACAAAGCACAUUUGCUUUUUAAAAAUUAUUUUAUUGCAGUUGCUAAAGUAUGUGAGCUUAUCUGUGGUGCUGUAUAAACAGUACUAAGGGCAAGGCAGACAUUGGACUCCCAACAAACCAAACCCGGCUGACCUUUAUCUUCAAUGCCUCAUUUCAUGAUAGCUGUGACUUUCCCAAAAGGUAUUUGAAAUCAUCUUAUGACAAUUAAUUUGUGACAAUUAGAAAAGGCUUGAGGACAGUGCCAAGGAAAAGUCUGCAUAUCGUGGUGGUGGAGGGGAAUCAUAGAUUUUAAGGGUGGAAGGGACGUUCAAGUGUUUCCAAUGUACCUUGCCUUCCUUCUCCCGCCGCUCGCCUGUCCCCCUCCCCCACACCCCCACCCAGGUUGCCCGAAUGACAAUGACAAACCUGCUAAAACAUUAGCAAUCUCUGGUUACACAUACCUGUUCUAGCAGUGUGAAGAUAUUAACUGCAACCCCAUCUCUAAACGUAAAACAUUGGAGUAACCAAAACAUCUAACACAGCAAUAAGUCACUAUUGUACAAAUGGAAAUUAGAUCUGUGGACAUUUGUGGAAGUGUUUCUUGUGAUUUUAAAUUCAAAAAAGCGGAAUAUAAACUUGCAUUUAGAUUAUACUUAAAACUGUGCCCAGGAAGACGGAAAGAUACGCAGAAUAGAAACAGUUGUUUUGCUUGGGUUAUGAGGGUAAUUUUUCUUUUCCUUUAAACGUUUAUACAUUUUCUAUAAUUUCGCUUAUUCAGUGUUCCCAUAUCAAACUAAUAAACAUAAAAAUAUGGCUUUCCUUUUUUUUCCUUUUUGUGCUUGAAAACAGAUAGAAGUAAAGGGGGCUAAUGUUUAGCUGUGGAGAUAGAAAUCUGCAAUGGCAUUCUCCAGGAGUCAGAGGCAAUGAUCAAAAAAUAUAUAUACAUAAAGUUUUAAGUUCAUUUGGUGAAGCCGGGAAAUACUGCAUACUUCCCAUCCUUUUAAAAACCAUUGUAGCUCUUUGUUGAAUUUAUGUUUGCAAUUUAAUAGGAGCCAGGGGAUCAUUAAAAAAGAACAGUUUUAAGAGAAACCACAACACAAGGGAAAAAUGUUAGCCAAUUCUUAGGACAAACCUAAUUACAUUUUUACUCAUAUCCUGAAAAAAAAAAAUCUCCUGUCUUACACCGCAUCGUAUAGCUGAUUGGCAGAAAGAGUUUCCCUUCGGCUUAUUUUAAUAUGUCUUUAUUACUUGGAUUUCUGCAGUUUAGUGUUUAGAUGCAGGGACACAUGAUCUUUCAUUGUUGUGUCUUCUAUUGUCUGGAGACCCAUAAAACCAGAGGGUUGACAGGUUCAGCAUUUUGUUCUUAUUAUCUGCCCAAGCCAUUCGAUAGUGUGAUUGGUGCUGGUGCACUACAGACGUUCAUAAAGGAUAAUGUCUUUAUCUUAGGAUGCAGAUUUUCAAAUAAGAAGAAUCUAAGUUUUUUGGAUAAAAAAGGUCAACCACGGCAAACUCAAUUUGAAAUAAGCUGCAAAACAAUAUCGCUGUCAAUGUGGAGUGACUAGAUUGGACAUCUUUAAUUUCAGCCUCUUUGACAAUUUAUGAAAAUUAACGUUAAAGUUUUUAAAACCAGAUGGAGAUUAGCCAUUCGUGUAGUAAGCAAAAAUAAACAUAUUCUGUUGGUAUUCAGAGAACAAAAGAUACAUUCUAAUUUAGAGGAAGAAUAUUGUUUUCCCCUUUUAAUAUAUCUGAAGUUCAUAUGAUCUGGUAUUUCUUUUUUUUUUUUUUUUAAUUUUUAACGUUUAUUUAUUUUUGAGAGACAGAGAUAGAACACGAGUUGUGAGGGCGGUGGUGGGGGGGGGGGGUGGUUGCACAGAGCAGAGAGAGAAGGAGACACAGAAUCCGAAGCAGGCUCCAGGCUCCGAGCUGUCAGCACAGAGCCCAAUGUGGGACUCGAAAUCACGAACCGUGAGAUCAUGACCUGAGCCAAAGUUGGAUGCCUAACCGACUGAGCCACCCAGGAACCCCCAUCUGGUAUUUCUUAAAUAGUAAAAACAUACUGUCUUUUUAGGGGCUGACAUCAAAUAAAGGGCAAGUCAAAUAUUUUUUGGUUUUACUGUAAAUGGGUUGUAUCAGACCGACUAUAAUUUCUUACUUUUCCCCCUUAGAAUAAUUCAGCACAAUUGUAUUGAAGCCCUUGUGGCUUUCUGAUAAUUAGA